GACGGCGGGUGCUAGCGUUGUUCGGAAUCACUGGGCGUAAAGGGCGCGUAGGCGGCCAUUCAAGUCGAGUGUGAAAGCCCGGGGCUCAACCUCGGAACUGCAUUCGAUACUGGAUGGCUUGAGGCCGGAAGAGGAGAGUGGAAUACCCAGUGUAGAGGUGAAAUUCGUAGAUAUUGGGUGGAACACCAGUGGCGAAAGCGGCUCUCUGGUCCGGUCCUGACGCUGAGGCGCGAAAGCGUGGGUAGCAAACAGG
Molecule: ribosomal RNA, 253 nt
Filed under: uncultured bacterium
Lineage: Bacteria
Description: partial 16S ribosomal RNA
Rfam family: Bacterial small subunit ribosomal RNA
Source: RNAcentral